UUUUUUCUUCGAGAAAGCCACAUCAUAUUGUUCUAAAACAUGGAAAGUGUUAAUCCUACAAUACCAUUAAUUUUACCUUUCAUUUUUUUAUUCCUUCUUUGUGCUUUCAGCAUGCCAAACCAGCACACUCCACAGUCAAACACAACUAGACAUGUUCUAAAACACCUGAAGUAUCUUGAGUGCCCAAAAUGUGUCAAUCAUCAUGGACAAAACUAUUCUUGACACUACAUCUACCAAAAACAUGAGUUUGUCUGAGAUGAGGAAGACUAAUUCUAAAAGAUGGUUUCAUAGAGGCAAUUUGAGGGGUUCUUGCUCCAGUGCAUGCUUGAGAUUUCAAUCAUCCAUUUUCCUUCCUCCGCACCAUGGCAUAUAAGAGCAUGGGCAUGACUGUAGCACAAAGCCACUAACUAAUGAAGUAUUAGAUAGUAUAAUCAGAA
This 437-nucleotide long non-coding RNA is filed under the name Glycine max (soybean). RNAcentral describes it as "long non-coding RNA (GMAX_LNC004633)". Lineage: Eukaryota; Viridiplantae; Streptophyta; Magnoliopsida; Fabales; Fabaceae. The record is from RNAcentral.